AUUGAACGCUGGCGGCAGGCCUAACACAUGCAAGUCGAACGGUAGCACAGAGAGCUUGCUCUCGGGUGACGAGUGGCGGACGGGUGAGUAAUGUCUGGGAAACUGCCCGAUGGAGGGGGAUAACUACUGGAAACGGUAGCUAAUACCGCAUAACGUCUUCGGACCAAAGUGGGGGACCUUCGGGCCUCACACCAUCGGAUGUGCCCAGAUGGGAUUAGCUAGUAGGUGGGGUAACGGCUCACCUAGGCGACGAUCCCUAGCUGGUCUGAGAGGAGGACCAGCCACACUGGAACUAGGACACGGUCCAGACUCCUACGGGAGGCAGCAGUGGGGAAUAGUGCACAAUGGGCGCAAGCCUGAUGCAGCCAUGCCGCGUGUAUGAAGAAGGCCUUCGGGUUGUAAAGUACUUUCAGCGGGGAGGAAGGCGAUGAAGUUAAUAGCUUCGUCGAUUGACGUUACCCGCAGAAGAAGCACCGGCUAACUCCGUGCCAGCCGCCGCCGUAA
Molecule: ribosomal RNA, 504 nt
Filed under: uncultured bacterium
Lineage: Bacteria
Description: partial 16S ribosomal RNA
Rfam family: Bacterial small subunit ribosomal RNA
Source: RNAcentral